CCUACGGGAGGCAGCAGUAGGGAAUCUUCCGCAAUGGACGAAAGUCUGACGGAGCAACGCCGCGUGAGCGAAGAAGGCCUUCGGGUCGUAAAGCUCUGUUGUUAGGGAAGAACAAGUACCGUUCGAAGAGGGCGGUACCUUGACGGUACCUAACGAGAAAGCCACGGCUAACUACGUGCCAGCAGCCGCGGUAAU
RNAcentral lists this ribosomal RNA (195 nucleotides) under uncultured bacterium. RNAcentral describes it as "partial 16S ribosomal RNA". It matches the Rfam family "Bacterial small subunit ribosomal RNA", at positions 338 to 524 of the family's 1533-position model. The record is from RNAcentral.